AGAGAGAGAGAGAGAGAGAGACGCGUGGAGCUACCGACUGACUGGCUGCAACACCUCGUCUACACGUUUGUUGAAGAUGCUGAAGAUGCUGCGUUAUAACUCAGAGCUGAUUUUAAGCCAACGGAGUCCAGAGAUAUGUGACUCCUCAUCUUCAAUAUUUCGUCUCACUCGGGCAGAAACAGCAGUAAGCAUGGAGAGGGGUUGGUUUCUGUCUUUGGUUAUCUAGCUGUAUGAGUAUAAAAACAUGUCAUAAAGCUAGAUAACCGAAAGUAGAAAUUAAUCUCAAACUCGCACCCAUCUCGUGUGAAUCUCCCAAACCGAGUGAAUUAAGGAUAUGUAUAAAAGAGCCUUGUUCCAGUCUACAACAUGCCAUAAUAAAGUACAGUGUCAUGAACUUAGGCAGCAUGCUGGACAGAAGACGUGACAGAUACAUAGAUGCUGGGAGGAAGACGCCUUUGUCCCUGACUGCCAUAUUUCUCGUCAUGCCAAAAGAUCUCCGGUGCCAUCUGGGGGAUAUGGGGCACCAUGCCCGCGCCACCGGCGAUGAAGCCCCAUCAUGUCCCUGGAGCCUUGGCACGACGAACGAGGAAGGCAGGGAGGCCAUCUUGAGGGAGAUCUCACUGAAACAGCUAAGAUGGCUGGACUGGCAUACGAGAGCACUCUUGGUGUGUUAACUGCAACAGAGGACACUGAAAAACAUGAUGCAAUAUGGGCAUUUUUCUCUCCAAGGAUAGAAUUAUAAUAUUUGUAUUAAGAAAAU
Long non-coding RNA from Hemibagrus wyckioides, 760 nucleotides. RefSeq lists it as uncharacterized. NCBI's taxonomy places the organism in Eukaryota, Metazoa, Chordata, Actinopteri, Siluriformes, Bagridae. The record is from RefSeq and is a predicted model, not a curated record. The transcript has 4 exons.